UUAAGUCGUUGGCGGUUGAAGAUUGUCGUGCGUCUGAUUAGCUAGUUGGUGAGGUAACGGCUCACCAAGGCGACGAUCAGUAGCUGGUCUGAGAGGAUGAUCAGCCACACUGGAACUGAGACACGGACCCGACUCCUACGGGAGGCAGCAGUAAGGAAUAUUGGACAAUGGGCGCAAGCCUGAUCCAGCCAUCCCGCGUGCAGGAUGACACGCCCGUACGGGUUAGUAAACUGCUGUUGGUUAGGGAACGAAACCCCUCGUAUUUAUCGGGGGCUGACGGUACCUUUCGAAUAAGCACCAGCUAACUCCGUG
Molecule: ribosomal RNA, 312 nt
Filed under: uncultured bacterium
Lineage: Bacteria
Description: bacterial SSU rRNA
Rfam family: Bacterial small subunit ribosomal RNA
Source: RNAcentral